Molecule: ribosomal RNA, 330 nt
Filed under: Botrytis cinerea
Lineage: Eukaryota; Fungi; Ascomycota; Leotiomycetes; Helotiales; Sclerotiniaceae
Also listed under: 1 other name
Description: LSU rRNA
Rfam family: Eukaryotic large subunit ribosomal RNA
Source: RNAcentral
AUAUUGGCCAGAGACCGAUAGCGCACAAGUAGAGUGAUCGAAAGAUGAAAAGCACUUUGGAAAGAGAGUUAAACAGUACGUGAAAUUGUUGAAAGGGAAGCGCUUGCAAUCAGACUUGCACUUGGUGUUCAUCAGGGUCUCGUACCCUGUGUACUUCAUCAAGUUCAGGCCAGCAUCAGUUUGAGUGGUUAGAUAAAGGCUUAAAGAAUGUGGCCCUCUUCGGGGGGUGUUAUAGCUCUAGGUGCAAUGUAGCCUACUUGGACUGAGGACCGCGCUUCGGCUAGGAUGCUGGCGUAAUGGUUGUAAGCGACCCGUCUUGAAACACGGACC